UGGCUGCAGUCGAGGAUCUUCGGCAAUGGACGAAAGUCUGACCGAGCGACGCCGCGUGCGGGACGAAGGCCUUCGGGUUGUAAACCGCUGUCGAGGGGGAUUAAGGGCAACUUGAAAGAACCCUGGAGGAAGGAGAGGCUAAGCUCGUGCCAGCAGCCGCGGUAAGACGAGCUCUCCAAACGUUAUUCGGUAUCACUGGGCUUAAAGAGUUCGUAGGCGGCUUUACAGGUGGGGUGUGAAAGCCCUCGGCUCAACCGAGGAAUUGCGCCCCAAACCGUAAGGCUUGAGGGAUAUAGGGGUAAGCGGAACAGAUGGUGGAGCGGUGAAAUGCAUUGAUAUCAUCUGGAACACCGGUGGCGAAGGCGGCUUACUGGAUAUUUUCUGACGCUGAGGAACGAAAGCUAGGGUAGCGAACGGGAUUAGAUACCCCGGUAGUCCUAGCCGUAAACGAUGAGCGCUAGUUUGAAGGACUUUCGCCCUCUUCCGUCGGUAGCGAAGCGGUUAACUCUUCCCCCUGGGGAGAAUGGUCCCAAGGCGAAAAUUCAAAGAAAUUGCCGG
This 558-nucleotide ribosomal RNA is filed under the name uncultured Planctomycetota bacterium. Its description in RNAcentral is "bacterial SSU rRNA". It matches the Rfam family "Bacterial small subunit ribosomal RNA", at positions 346 to 916 of the family's 1533-position model. The record is from RNAcentral. Lineage: Bacteria; Pseudomonadati; Planctomycetota.